GAGUCGGACCUGCCCAGUGAAUUAAGUUUUCAACGGCCGCGGUACUCUGACCGUGCAAAGGUAGCAUAAUCAUUUGCCCUAUAAUUGAGGGCUAGUAUGAAUGGUUUGACGUGAGCAAAACUGUCUCUACAUAAAUUUUUAGAAUUUGAUUUUUAGGUGAAGAGACCUAAAUUUUAUUGAUAGACAAGAAGACCCUAUUGAGCUUUAAAAAAACAAAUAGAGAAUAAUCUAUAAACUUAAAUAUUAAUCUAUUUUAGAUUUUGGUUGGGGCGACUAAGGAACAAACAGAGCUUCUUUACUACUUUCAUACCUACAGGUUUUGAUCCAGAAAUUCUGAUUAAUGGAAUUAGUUACCAUAGGGAUAACAGCAUAAUUUUCUUUGAGAGUCCUCAUCGAAAAGAAAGUUUGUGACCUCGAUGUUGGACUAGAAUAUCCUAAAGAUGCAGCAGUCUUUAAGGGUUNGUC
This 465-nucleotide ribosomal RNA is filed under the name Naria albuginosa. RNAcentral's name for it is "Erosaria albuginosa partial 16S large subunit ribosomal RNA". It matches the Rfam family "Bacterial large subunit ribosomal RNA", at positions 1850 to 2577 of the family's 2925-position model. The record is from RNAcentral. Lineage: Eukaryota; Metazoa; Mollusca; Gastropoda; Littorinimorpha; Cypraeidae.